This is a long non-coding RNA of Canis lupus familiaris (dog), 1800 nucleotides long. RefSeq lists it as uncharacterized. The transcript has 3 exons. The record is from RefSeq and is a predicted model, not a curated record. NCBI's taxonomy places the organism in Eukaryota, Metazoa, Chordata, Mammalia, Carnivora, Canidae.
CCUCGGGCCCCACCUAGCGGCCGGGCCUGCGCGCUGGCGGGGUCGGGCCUGCGGAGAGGGGAGGCUUGGGGGGGGGUACAGAGGCGGGAAAUGAGACCCCGAGGAAGAAGGCAAGGAACUGCGGCUUCAGGACAUCCCACCGCGCGCCCGCGGCUUUACACCCACUGCCUCACUCGGUCUUGUUUAUGGAGCCCCCCUAUGUCGUGGAAGGGAAAUUGGCAAGCAGUGAAGUAGAAGGGGCUUCCAACCUGGACUUCGGGAUUAGCACGCGGGGAGAUGCCCAUCCAGCGGACCUCCGUCUGCCUCCAGCUCAGUGGCCGCAGGCCUCAGGGUCCUCAUAUGCAACACGAUUCUGGCUUUGAAAAUCACCCUCUUGAGUAAUGACUUGUGUCCUGCUUUGGGGCUCAUAAAGUCCCCUUCCUGCCCCACCCCCACCCCCAGCACCAUCAGCCCCACACCUCCCGCCCCAACAUACCUAUUAUUAUUACGCAACCAUGACUUUGAGACAAAGCCCCUGGGUGGCUCUUUCAAGCAGAGCAAAGACACAAAUCUGUAGAGAGAAAUUCUGUGGUCUGGGAGGACCGAGAGCCCAAAGGUGCAUCCAAGAGAUGACUUUAAACAACCCCUUCCUUUCCCAACCCCAGAGGGCAAGAGGAGCUCUGGAGGAUGGGAACUGACCCACGCAGGCCAUGAGAACAUGGCAAUUUCUGCUGGAUCCCAGAUUGUUGGGGAAAGUGGAAGAGCCAUGAAGUCGACUCAUUCCCAGGACCCCAGGAUCAUGACCUGAGCCAAAGUUCUGCAGGUCAGAAGUCUACAAUCAAGGUGUUGACAAAGAUGUAUUCUCUCUGGGGACUUAAAGAGGGGAUUCGUUCCUUUGCCUUUCCAGCUUCUAGAGGCCACUCGCAUUCCACAGCUCAUAGCUCAUUCCUCAAAUCACUUCAACCUCUUACUUUUGUUGGCACAUCUACUACUGACUCCGAUCUUCCUGUGUCCCUCUUUUAUAUUAAAAUUUUUUUUUCUUGUGGCAAGAGCACUUAACAUGAGAUCUACCCUCUUAACAAAUUUUUAAGUGUAUAAUACAUUAUUGUUGUCCUGCCUGCCUCUUAUUAUAAGGACUCUUGUGAUUACAUUAGAUCCACCCGGAUAAUCUAGGAUUAUCUUCCCCAUCUCAAGAUCCUUAACUUAGUCACAUCUUCAAAGUUCCUUUUAUCAUAUACGAUAAGAUAGUAACAGGCUCCGGAGAUUACCACAGGGUUAUCUUUGGGGUGUCAUUAUUCCACCUACAACAAUCUGGCAACCCUAUGUCCAACUAUGUGACCAUAGCCAAAUCACUCAAUUUUCCAAAGCCUCUAGUUCCCCAUGAGCAAAAAGCUGAUUAAAUAAGCUCAUAAGAGGAAACACCUUGCCCCUCACCAGGCAAACCGUAUUUUUACAAAUGGCAGCUCUCAUGGCAAAGGGCAAGGAAUGAUCCUUUCCAGACCAUGGUGUCCUAGUUAUUUGAAUAAACUUCACCCAGACCCCAGACCCACUGGUGGUACGAUCAGGUUGCAAUCCCAGAUACUGCCAGCAGGAGGAGAAGAAUAUAAGUCUAGAACCUGGUCUCAAGGGCAGGGGAGGGUUGAGAGGAGAUUCAAAGAUGCCCAGAAGUCCCUGCCCCUUCCCUCAAUUAAGGGCCAUUAUUUUUGGGUCUUCCUGAUGUUACAUAUCAUGGAACUAAGUUAUCUUAGGAUUAGAAGAGUCUCAGUCAAAAAAGUUUUCAUAAAAAAAAACAAAAAAAAAACAAAAAAGUUUUCAUUUUUU